Molecule: long non-coding RNA, 738 nt
Filed under: Pan troglodytes (chimpanzee)
Lineage: Eukaryota; Metazoa; Chordata; Mammalia; Primates; Hominidae
Description: long non-coding RNA NONPTRT007688
Source: RNAcentral
CCUAUAUUAUUCCAAAAUAAACAUUCUACACUAAAUAAAUAUCUUUUGACAGUAAAAUGAUAAUUUAAAUCAUGUUACAUUCUAGGAAGUACAGAUAAACACAGGCAGAUUUUCUCGCUGAACUAGUCCUUAAAUCACCUGAUUAAAAUAUGAUACUCUUGGCCAGGUGCCAUGGCUCAUGCCUGUAAUAGGUGCCUGUAGUCCCAGCUACUUGAGAGGCUGAGGCAGGAGACUUGCUUGAACCCGGGAGGCGGAGGUUGCAGUGAGAUGAGAUCACGCCACUGCACUCCAGCCUGGGCAACAGAGAGAUUUAAAAAAAAAAAAAAGAUACUCUUAUAAAAGUGUGUUAUUUUAAAGAUUAAUACAGUAUAAAAUACUCUCUAGUUGCAAGAAUGCAUCCUUGAAAUAUUCAUUAAAUAUUUUCUAAGGGCCCACAUUUGUCAUGAGGAAAUAUUUUAAGAACGGGUAGAAUCGAGUUCCAUUUUUCAAAUCUUUAAUAUAGAAGCAGAUAUCAAUUAAUCUUUUAAAAACACAAUUUUGUUUGCCAUGAGCUUUUAUUUGGGCUUCUACUUUGACACAUGUUUUAGCUUUAAGGUAUCUUAAAACGUAGGGGCAUUUAAGCUUUUAGAUCUCAUAAAACUUCCUGAGAACAUGCUCUGACUCAGUCAGGCCCAGAAAACAACCACUCUUUCUUCCUUUUCUCCCUCCCUGAAACAUUUACUGAGGGCCUCUAUGGUU